This 279-nucleotide long non-coding RNA is filed under the name Elaeis guineensis (African oil palm). RNAcentral describes it as "long non-coding RNA (EGUI_LNC003100)". Lineage: Eukaryota; Viridiplantae; Streptophyta; Magnoliopsida; Arecales; Arecaceae. The record is from RNAcentral.
GUAAUGUAUGAUAACCUCUGGGUCUAUGCUCAGCAUGUCCAAAGCUGAUCAAAUGAGAACAUCCAUGUUUGAUCAAAAAAAUGAAGCAAGGUGCUGACGGUCCUCAUCAUUUAGGAGGCAAUCAAAACCAUUCUGAUUGGGUCGGAUUCCACUAGCACAAUUGGUAUGAGGUCUUCUACUAGUGCUCUCUAUUAUGUCGACUCGUCAUGAACAUCAAGCUCCUCCAUAGGCUGAGAUUCUAUAAGAGCUCUCCCAUGCAGGGUUGUCAUGUAAUAUUCC